This 305-nucleotide ribosomal RNA is filed under the name uncultured bacterium. RNAcentral's name for it is "bacterial SSU rRNA". It matches the Rfam family "Bacterial small subunit ribosomal RNA", at positions 334 to 654 of the family's 1533-position model. The record is from RNAcentral.
AGGUCCUACGGGACGCAGCAGUGGGGAAUAUUGCACAAUGGGCGAAAGCCUGAUGCAGCAACGCCGCGUGAAGGAAGACGGUUUUCGGAUUGUAAACUUCUGUUCUUAGUGAAGAAUAAUGACGGUAACUAAGGAGCAAGCCACGGCUAACUACGUGCCAGCAGCCGCGGUAAUACGUAGGGGGCAAGCGUUAUCCGGAUUUACUGGGUGUAAAGGGUGCGUAGGUGGCAUGGCAAGUCAGAAGUGAAAGACCGGGGCUCAACCCCGCGGACUGCUUUUGAAACUGUCAGGCUGGAGUACAGGAG